UGGUGGAGUGAUUUGUCUGGUUAAUUCCGAUAACGAACGAGACUCUGUCCUGCUAACUAGGUUGUGUUUUCUCGGGUUGGUGUUUCUGGUGUUCCUUCUCGGGGCGCCGGCCCAAUCCACUUGUGAACACAACACUCUUCUUAGAGGGACUGGCGGCUGUUAGCCGCACGAGGUAGAGCAAUAACA
Molecule: ribosomal RNA, 186 nt
Filed under: uncultured eukaryote
Lineage: Eukaryota
Description: partial 18S ribosomal RNA
Rfam family: Eukaryotic small subunit ribosomal RNA
Source: RNAcentral